ACUCAAUAGAUACCCUGGUAGUCCACGCCCUAAACGAUGUCUACUAGUUGUCGGGUUUUAAUUAACUUGGUAAACGCAGCUAAACGCGUGAAAAAUAGACCGCCUGGGGAGUACGGUCGCAAGAUUAAAACUCAAAGGAAUUGACGGGGACCCGCACAAGCGGUGGAUGAUGUGGAUUAAUUCGAUGCAACGCGAAAAACCUUACCUACCCUUGACAUGUACGGAAGCCACGAGAGAUCGAGGUGUGCUCGAAAGAGAGCCGUAACACAGGUGCUGCAUGGCUGUCGUCAGCUCGUGUCGUGAGAUGUUGGGUUAAGUCCCGCAACGAGCGCAACCCUUGUCAUUAGUUGCUACGAAAGGGCACUCUAAUGAGACUGCCGGUGACAAACCGGAGGAAGGUAGGGAUGACGUCAAGUCCUCAUGGCCCUUAUGGGUAGGGCUUCACACGUCAUACAAUGGUACAUACAGAGGGCCGCCAACCCGCGAGGGGGAGCUAAUCCCAGAAAGUGUAUCGUAGUCCGGAUUGUAGUCUGCAACUCGACUGC
This 545-nucleotide ribosomal RNA is filed under the name uncultured bacterium. Its description in RNAcentral is "bacterial SSU rRNA". It matches the Rfam family "Bacterial small subunit ribosomal RNA", at positions 770 to 1319 of the family's 1533-position model. The record is from RNAcentral.